This is a long non-coding RNA of Pistacia vera, 436 nucleotides long. RefSeq lists it as uncharacterized. The record is from RefSeq and is a predicted model, not a curated record. NCBI's taxonomy places the organism in Eukaryota, Viridiplantae, Streptophyta, Magnoliopsida, Sapindales, Anacardiaceae. The transcript has 3 exons.
UAAUCAUGGCGCACUCUGAUCAUCUACAAGCUCCUGGCCUUGUUAAUUCACCACCGCGGCAGGCGGCGGAGGGUUAUGUGCAUUUGAGUGCACCAUCACCAAUUGGCUAUAUCACCAAGGCUGAUACUGCUGGGUGCCCCCACCAUCAUCACCCUUUCGAAAAUAGAAGCAAGGGUAAUGACUUGUGGAAACGAUGUUUUGCUGCCUUCUGUUGCUGCUGGUUAGAUCAAUUCAGGUCGUUAAUUUUUAUAAUUUGUAUUGAUCGUCCACUAAAACAAAAAAGCAAAUGUAAUUGUGUACGUGUAGAUAUGUGAUUACUUUGAAAAGUUCAUUACAGCAUAUGCAAAAAUCUAUUAUUUACAUCCCUUAUUCCAAACAAAACAAUUGCAAACAUAUCCUACUUAUAUUUGGCCAAUUUUAUUUAUUUUUUCGAAAA